RNAcentral lists this transfer RNA (60 nucleotides) under Downesia tarsata. RNAcentral describes it as "tRNA-Cys". The record is from RNAcentral. Lineage: Eukaryota; Metazoa; Arthropoda; Insecta; Coleoptera; Chrysomelidae.
AGUCUUAUAUUCAAUUAUGAUUUAAAAUUGCAAGUUUUAAGGUGAAUUUUUCUAAGGCUU